RNAcentral lists this ribosomal RNA (480 nucleotides) under Triticum aestivum (bread wheat). RNAcentral's name for it is "partial small subunit ribosomal RNA". Lineage: Eukaryota; Viridiplantae; Streptophyta; Magnoliopsida; Poales; Poaceae. The record is from RNAcentral.
AUGGCCCCUCUGAUAUACGACAAAAUCCUGCCUAGGAUCACGAAAUCGAAGACAGUGGCUGAUGCUCUCGAAAACAACAGUUGGGCGGGUGACGUUGGUCCGGAUCUCAUAGCGGAUGCGCUGGUUCAAUUCCUUCAUCUUUGGUCGCGAGUUGCGGUGGUGCAGGUCACAGAGAAUAUGGACGAAUUGGUAAAGCAGAGCUGGGAGAAGAACGGUCAGUUCUCAGCUCGUUCGCCAUACGCGGCUAGAUUCAUGGGACUCGAGGUGUCGCAGACGGCGGCAUUCACAUGGGGAUCGCGGGCACCCCUCCAUUGUCGUUUCUUUGCCUGGCUAGCCUUCAAGAACAAAUGCUGGACCUCAGAUCGCCUAGCCUGUCGAGGUCUACCUCAUCAGGACUCAUGCCCGCUAUGCCAGCAAGGGGAGGAGACCAUCCAACAUCUAUUAAUUGACUGCGUGUUUGCAAGGCAAAUCUGGCACUAG